Molecule: ribosomal RNA, 238 nt
Filed under: uncultured bacterium
Lineage: Bacteria
Description: partial 16S ribosomal RNA
Rfam family: Bacterial small subunit ribosomal RNA
Source: RNAcentral
GAUCAUGGCUCAGGAUGAACGCUAGCUACAGGCUUAACACAUGCAAGUCGAGGGGCAGCAUGAACUUAGCUUGCUAAGUUUGAUGGCGACCGGCGCACGGGUGAGUAACACGUAUCCAACCUGCCGAUGACUCGGGGAUGGCCUUUCGAAAGAAAGAUUAAUACCCGAUGGCAUAGUUCUUCCGCAUGGUGGAACUAUUAAAGAAUUUCGGCCAUCGAUGGGGAUGCGUUCCAUUAGG